CCUACGGGAGGCAGCAGUGGGGAAUAUUGCACAAUGGGGGAAACCCUGAUGCAGCGACGCCGCGUGAGUGAAGAAGUAAUUCGUUAUGUAAAGCUCUAUCAGCAGGGAAGAAAAUGACGGUACCUGAGUAAGAAGACACGGCUAACUACGUUCCAGCAGCCGCGGUAAUACGGAGGAUGCGAGCGUUAUCCGGAUUUAUUGGGUUUAAGGUGUGUGCAGGCGGAAGAUCAAGUCAGCGGUAAAAUUUAGAGGCUCAACCUCUUCGAGCCGUUGAAACUGGUUGUCUUGAGUGAGCGAGAAGUAUGCGGAAUGCGUGGUGUAGCGGUGAAAUGCAUAGAUAUCACGCAGAACUCCGAUUGCGAAGGCAGCAUACCGGCGCUCAACUGACGCUCAUGCACGAAAGUGUGGGUAUCGAACAGGAUUAGAUACCCUUGUAGUC
This 439-nucleotide ribosomal RNA is filed under the name uncultured bacterium. RNAcentral describes it as "partial 16S ribosomal RNA". It matches the Rfam family "Bacterial small subunit ribosomal RNA", at positions 338 to 795 of the family's 1533-position model. The record is from RNAcentral.